GACGAACGCUGGCGGCGUGCCUAAUACAUGCAAGUUGAGCGCUGAAGGUUGGUACUUGUCCCAACUGGAUGAGCAGCGAACGGGUGAGUAACGCGUGGGGAAUCUGCCUUUGAUCGGGGGACAACAUUUGGAAACGAAUGCUAAUACCGCAUAAAAACUUUAAACACAAGUUUUAAGUUUGAAAGAUGCAAUUGCAUCACUCAAAGAUGAUCCCGCGUUGUAUUAGCUAGUUGGUGAGGUAAAGGCUCACCAAGGCGAUGAUACAUAGCCGACCUGAGAGGGUGAUCGGCCACAUUGGGACUGAGACACGGCCCAAACUCCUACAGGAGGCAGCAGUAGGGAAUCUUCGGCAAUGGACGAAAGUCUGACCGGGCAACGCCGCGUGAGUGAAGAGGAUUUUCGGAUCGUAAAACUCUGUUGGUAGGGAAGAACGUUGGUGAGAGUGGAAAGCUCAUCAAGUGACGGUAACUACCCAGAAAGGGACGGCUAACUACGUG
This 497-nucleotide ribosomal RNA is filed under the name uncultured bacterium. Its description in RNAcentral is "partial 16S ribosomal RNA". It matches the Rfam family "Bacterial small subunit ribosomal RNA", at positions 28 to 507 of the family's 1533-position model. The record is from RNAcentral.